GCCGGGGUGGCGGAACAGGCAGACGCACAGGACUUAAAAUCCUGCGGAGAGUGAUCACCGUACCGGUUCGAUUCCGGUCCUCGGCACCA
Molecule: transfer RNA, 89 nt
Filed under: Staphylococcus aureus
Lineage: Bacteria; Bacillati; Bacillota; Bacilli; Caryophanales; Staphylococcaceae
Description: tRNA-Leu
Rfam family: tRNA
About the family: Transfer RNA (tRNA) molecules are approximately 80 nucleotides in length. Their secondary structure includes four short double-helical elements and three loops (D, anti-codon, and T loops).
Source: RNAcentral